GGCAUUAAGUUUCGAAAUGAAGAAACCGAACUCAAGGAGUCAGACAGCGCAGAACAAAAGAUGCUGCUUACAGAACACGGCAGAUCUUCACCCUCGUCGAUUUUAUUACAAGAUUCCGGUCAAAAGUUGAAUCUUGGUUCGGCAUUUGUUCAACGAACUCGAUAUUUGAGUCGUAGUCCGAGAUAUGGACCAAGCGCUUUUAUGAUUGAUGUCGUACCAGAUUCCAAGACACUGUUUUACACAAGGAAGAAACUGAAGGCAA
This is a long non-coding RNA of Dendronephthya gigantea, 262 nucleotides long. RefSeq lists it as uncharacterized. The record is from RefSeq and is a predicted model, not a curated record. Lineage: Eukaryota; Metazoa; Cnidaria; Anthozoa; Malacalcyonacea; Nephtheidae. The transcript is spliced from 3 exons.